RNAcentral lists this ribosomal RNA (617 nucleotides) under uncultured bacterium. Its description in RNAcentral is "bacterial SSU rRNA". It matches the Rfam family "Bacterial small subunit ribosomal RNA", at positions 28 to 641 of the family's 1533-position model. The record is from RNAcentral.
AUUGAACGCUGGCGGCAUGCUUUACACAUGCAGGUCGAACGGCAGCAUGGGCUUCGGCCUGAUGGCGAGUGGCGAACGGGUGAGUAAUGCAUCGGAACGUGCCCAGUCGUGGGGGACAACUAGUCGAAAGAUUAGCUAAUACCGCAUACGACCUGAGGGUGAAAGUGGGGGAUCUUCGGACCUCACGCGAUUGGAGCGGCCGAUGUCAGAUUAGCUAGUUGGUGGGGUAAGAGCCUACCAAGGCGACGAUCUGUAGCGGGUCUGAGAGGAUGAUCCGCCACACUGGGACUGAGACACGGCCCAGACUCCUACGGGAGGCAGCAGUGGGGAAUUUUGGACAAUGGGGGCAACCCUGAUCCAGCCAUGCCGCGUGCGGGAAGAAGGCCUUCGGGUUGUAAACCGCUUUCGGACAGAAAGAAAUCGCACAGGCUAAUACCUUGUGUGGAUGACGGUACUGUAAGAAGAAGCACCGGCUAACUACGUGCCAGCAGCCGCGGUAAUACGCAGGGUGCGAGCGUUAAUCGGAAUUACUGGGCGUAAAGCGUGCGCAGGCAGAUUGUUAAGCAAGAUGUGAAAUCCCCGGGCUUAACCUGGGAAUGGCAUUUGAACUGGCAGUC